Molecule: ribosomal RNA, 429 nt
Filed under: Gemmatimonadota bacterium
Lineage: Bacteria; Pseudomonadati; Gemmatimonadota
Description: Gemmatimonadetes bacterium partial 16S ribosomal RNA
Rfam family: Bacterial small subunit ribosomal RNA
Source: RNAcentral
UAGGGAAUCUUCGGCAAUGGACGAAAGUCUGACCGAGCAACGCCGCGUGAGUGAAGAAGGUUUUCGGAUCGUAAAACUCUGUUGUUAGAGAAGAACAAGGACGUUAGUAACUGAACGUCCCCUGACGGUAUCUAACCAGAAAGCCACGGCUAACUACGUGCCAGCAGCCGCGGUAAUACGUAGGUGGCAAGCGUUGUCCGGAUUUAUUGGGCGUAAAGCGAGCGCAGGCGGUUUCUUAAGUCUGAUGUGAAAGCCCCCGGCUCAACAGGGGAGGGUCAUUGGAAACGGGGAGACUUGAGUGCAGAAGAGGAGAGUGGAAUUCCAUGUGUAGCGGUGAAAUGCGUAGAUAUAUGGAGGAACACCAGUGGCGAAGGAGGCGCUCUAGUCUGUAACUGACGCUGAGGCUCGAAAGCGUGGGAAGCAAACAGG